RNAcentral lists this ribosomal RNA (481 nucleotides) under uncultured bacterium. RNAcentral describes it as "bacterial SSU rRNA". It matches the Rfam family "Bacterial small subunit ribosomal RNA", at positions 26 to 507 of the family's 1533-position model. The record is from RNAcentral.
AGGACGAACGCUGGCGGCGUGCUUAAUACAUGCAAGUCAACUUGACUUAGAUAGCAUAUCGAAAAGUAGGGUGGCGCACGGGUGCGUAACGCGUAGGUAAUCUGCCCUGAGGUCUGACAUAAACCCGUCGAAAGGCGGGCUAACAUCAGAUGAUAUAUAAUCACGACAUCGUGGAAAUAUCAAAUCUUCGGAGCCUUGGGAUGAGCCUGCGUCUGAUUAGGUAGUUGGCGGAGUAAUAGCCCACCAAGCCUACGAUCAGUAGCUGGUCUGAGAGGAUGAUCAGCCACACUGGAACUGAGACACGGUCCAGACUCCUACGGGAGGCAGCAGUAAGGAAUAUUGCUCAAUGGGGGGAAACCCUGAAGCAGCAACGCCGCGUGAAGGAUGAAAUACUUUGUAUGUAAACUUCUGUAAGAUGGGAAAAAUAUUCUCCUCGGGAGAAUUGAUUGUACCAUCAGAGUAAGCCCCGGCUAACUACGUG